This is a long non-coding RNA of Cyprinus carpio (common carp), 413 nucleotides long. The record is from Ensembl. NCBI's taxonomy places the organism in Eukaryota, Metazoa, Chordata, Actinopteri, Cypriniformes, Cyprinidae.
CUGAGCGCGAACAACUGAGCAGCGCGCUGCAUUUUCCUGUCCAGGCGCAGUUCACGUGAUGGAGCGUUCACGCGCUUAGAAAACUUCAGCGCUGAACAAAUAGGCUUUCAGACACAUCUGCACAACUUUGUUGUUUCUGACGAGAGAAUUCGCUAGAAAGAGGUAUUCANCAGUGAGCCCCUCCCCCUCCUCGACGCCUCAACUCUACCUUCGCGCCGCGAGCAUUUUGAAUCACCUCAGGAGUCAAGAGCCAUCGUUUUUCAGCGAGGACAGCUGUUAUUCGGAGAAAAAAGAGAUGAACAAAUUGAUGAAGAAACCCUCCUGCUACUUGAUGAAAAAUCGCUAGAAGCUAUGAUACCAAAAAUAGGCCUGCGAUUGAAAUUUAAAAAGCACCUGAGAGAGCUGCUUGUGAG